CAAUAGCGUAUAUUAACGUUGUUGCAGUUAAAAAGCUCGUAGUUGGAUUUCUGGAGGGAGCGUCGGCCCGUAUUUACGAGAGCGUGACGUCUCUGUCCAUCCUUGCGGGAAGGCACGGCAUUGAUUUGUUGUGUCGGAUCGCAUCAUUUACUGUGAAAAAAUUAGAGUGUUCAAAGCAGGCUUUCGCUUGAAUACAUUAGCAUGGAAUAAUAAGAUAGGACUUUGGUGCUAUUUUGUUGGUUGAGCCUAAAGUAAUGAUUAAUAGGGAUAGUUGGGGGCACCUGUAUUGCGUUGUCAGAGGUGAAAUUCUUGGAUUUACGCAAGACAAACAGCUGCGAAAGCGUCUGCCAAGGAUGUUUUCAUUAA
This 366-nucleotide ribosomal RNA is filed under the name uncultured eukaryote. RNAcentral describes it as "partial 18S ribosomal RNA". It matches the Rfam family "Eukaryotic small subunit ribosomal RNA", at positions 592 to 976 of the family's 1831-position model. The record is from RNAcentral.